Molecule: signal recognition particle RNA, 298 nt
Filed under: Cebus imitator (Panamanian white-faced capuchin)
Lineage: Eukaryota; Metazoa; Chordata; Mammalia; Primates; Cebidae
Description: Metazoan signal recognition particle RNA (ENSCCAG00000005143.1)
Rfam family: Metazoan signal recognition particle RNA
About the family: The signal recognition particle (SRP) is a universally conserved ribonucleoprotein. It is involved in the co-translational targeting of proteins to membranes.
Source: RNAcentral
GCCAGGCGUGGUGGCGUGUGCCCAUAGUCCCAGCUACUCAGGAGGCUGAGGUGGGAGGAUUGCUUGAGCCCAGGAGUUCUGGGCUGUAGUGUGCUAUGCCCAUCGGGUGUCCGCUCUAAGUUCGGCAUCAAUAUGGUGACCUCCCAGGAGCGGGGGACCACCAGGUUGCCUAAGGAGGGGUGAAUCUGUCCAGGUCGGAAACGGAGCAGGUCAAAACUCCGUGCUGAUAAGUAGUGGGAUCGCCCCUGUGAAUAGCCAAUGCACUCCAGCCUGGGCAACAUAGCGAGACCACGUCUCU